AGAGUUUGAUCCUGGCUCAGGACGAACGCUGGCGGCGUGCUUAACACAUGCAAGUCGAACGGAAAGGCCCUUCGGGGGUACUCGAGUGGCGAACGGGUGAGUAACACGUGGGUGAUCUGCCCUGCACUUUGGGAUAAGCCUGGGAAACUGGGUCUAAUACCGAAUAAGACCGCAUGCUUCAUGGUGUGUGGUGGAAAGCUUUUGCGGUGUGGGAUGGGCCCGCGGCCUAUCAGCUUGUUGGUGGGGUAAUGGCCUACCAAGGCGACGACGGGUAGCCGGCCUGAGAGGGUGUCCGGCCACACUGGGACUGAGAUACGGCCCAGACUCCUACGGGAGGCAGCAGUGGGGAAUAUUGCACAAUGGGCGCAAGCCUGAUGCAGCGACGCCGCGUGGGGGAUGACGGCCUUCGGGUUGUAAACCUCUUUCACCAUCGACGAAGGUUCGGGUUUUCUCGGAUUGACGGUAGGUGGAGAAGAAGCACCGGCCAACUACGUGCCAGCAGCCGCGGUAAUACGUAGGGUGCGAGCGUUGUCCGGAAUUACUGGGCGUAAAGAGCUCGUAGGUGGUUUGUCGCGUUGUUCGUGAAAUCUCACGGCUUAACUGUGAGCGUGCGGGCGAUACGGGCAGACUUGAGUACUGCAGGGGAGACUGGAAUUCCUGGUGUAGCGGUGGAAUGCGCAGAUAUCAGGAGGAACACCGGUGGCGAAGGCGGGUCUCUGGGCAGUAACUGACGCUGAGGAGCGAAAGCGUGGGGAGCGAACAGGAUUAGAUACCCUGGUAGUCCAA
Molecule: ribosomal RNA, 786 nt
Filed under: uncultured bacterium
Lineage: Bacteria
Description: bacterial SSU rRNA
Rfam family: Bacterial small subunit ribosomal RNA
Source: RNAcentral